This 468-nucleotide ribosomal RNA is filed under the name uncultured bacterium. RNAcentral's name for it is "partial 16S ribosomal RNA". It matches the Rfam family "Bacterial small subunit ribosomal RNA", at positions 28 to 507 of the family's 1533-position model. The record is from RNAcentral.
GACGAACGCUGGCGGCGUGCUUAACACAUGCAAGUCGAACGGAAAGGCCCUGCUUUUGUGGGGUGCUCGAGUGGCGAACGGGUGAGUAACACGUGAGUAACCUGCCCUUGACUUUGGGAUAACUUCAGGAAACUGGGGCUAAUACCGGAUAGGAGCUCCUGCUGCAUGGUGGGGGUUGGAAAGUUUCGGCGGUUGGGGAUGGACUCGCGGCUUAUCAGCUUGUUGGUGGGGUAGUGGCUUACCAAGGCUUUGACGGGUAGCCGGCCUGAGAGGGUGACCGGCCACAUUGGGACUGAGAUACGGCACAGACUCCUCCGGGAGGCAACAGUGGGGAAUAUUGCACAAUGGGCGGGAGGCUGAUGCAGCAACGCCGCGUGCGGGAUGACGGGCUUCGGGUUGUAAACCGCUUUCGCCUGUGACGAAGCGUGAGUGACGGUAAUGGGUAAAGAAGCACCGGCUAACUACGUG